CCUACGGGAGGCAGCAGUGAGGAAUAUUGGUCAAUGGACGAGAGUCUGAACCAGCCAUGUAGCGUGAAGGAUGACGGCCCUAUGGGUUGUAAACUUCUUUUAUAUGGGAAUAAAAUGUUCCACGUGUGGGCUUUUGUAUGUACCAUAUGAAUAAGGAUCGGCUAACUCCGUGCCAGCAGCCGCGGUAAUACGGAGGAUCCGAGCGUUAUCCGGAUUUAUUGGGUUUAAAGGGAGCGUAGGUGGAUUGUUAAGUCAGUUGUGAAAGUUUGCGGCUCAACCGUAAAAUUGCAGUUGAAACUGGCAGUCUUGAGUACAGUAGAGGUGGGCGGAAUUCGUGGUGUAGCGGUGAAAUGCUUAGAUAUCACGAAGAACUCCGAUUGCGAAGGCAGCUCACUGGACUGCAACUGACACUGAGGCUCGAAAGUGUGGGUAUCAAACAGGAUUAGAUACCCUAGUAGUC
This 460-nucleotide ribosomal RNA is filed under the name uncultured bacterium. Its description in RNAcentral is "partial 16S ribosomal RNA". It matches the Rfam family "Bacterial small subunit ribosomal RNA", at positions 338 to 795 of the family's 1533-position model. The record is from RNAcentral.